AACAGAUGAGUUUGGAUGGAGAAUGUUAUCUUUAGGUGGCUCUACAAAGCCCAUGUUAGCCUUUACCAACAGAUCACCUUCAUGGCACACAUUCCUCCUUCCUAUGCUAUCAUUCACCUUCAUGGUUGAAUCUUCAUCAAAACUCAUCAAAUCCUUCAAUUGGUCAUAGUACUUACCUGGUUUUGUUACCUCACCACUAUUGCAGGCAUCUAAAUCUAGCAAAGACACGGACUCCAGAUGUGGCCUUGGAGCUACUAUGUUGAUUCUAAUUCUAGACAAGCAAACAAAAUGUGAGAGGCUCAAUCUCCAAAACCUCA
This 317-nucleotide long non-coding RNA is filed under the name Vigna radiata. RNAcentral describes it as "long non-coding RNA (VRAD_LNC018243)". The record is from RNAcentral. Lineage: Eukaryota; Viridiplantae; Streptophyta; Magnoliopsida; Fabales; Fabaceae.